Long non-coding RNA from Nicotiana attenuata, 339 nucleotides. RefSeq lists it as uncharacterized. The record is from RefSeq and is a predicted model, not a curated record. Lineage: Eukaryota; Viridiplantae; Streptophyta; Magnoliopsida; Solanales; Solanaceae. The transcript has 2 exons.
AGAUCUAGGUAUCUUUGGCCACGGUAGCAGUUGCUGAUCAUUUCAGUUGUGAACUUUCCUUGGAGAUAGCAAGCUUAGUGAUGUGGAGAGCUGAGUCUACUUCCCCUCAUGGAUGUAAGAGUAGCAUCAAGCGAUGACAAUGCAAAAUCACCAAGGAAGUACAUUGCACUUUGUAUAUUUAUUUAUUAAGAUGAGGAUCUACUCUUUAUUGUAUUAUGUUUAAGUUAUCAUACAUUUAUUUGUAUAAGUUUUAGUUUGAUAUGAAUUUAAAAUUGUGAUGUUUGUUAGCAUUGAUAUUUUUAAUGGAAUUUGAUUUGUGAGAGUUAUUUAGUAAAAUUA